CCUACGGGUGGCAGCAGUGAGGAAUAUUGGUCAAUGGGCGCGAGCCUGAACCAGCCAAGUAGCGUGAAGGAUGACUGCCCUACGGGUUGUAAACUUCUUUUAUAAAGGAAUAAAGUGAGGCACGUGUGCCUUUUUGUAUGUACUUUCUGAAUAAGGAUCGGCUAACUCCGUGCCAGCAGCCGCGGUAAUACGGAGGCUCCGAGCGUUAUCCGGAUUUAUUGGGUUUAAAGGGAGCGUAGAUGGGUUGUUAAGUCAGUUGUAAAAGUUUGCGGCUCAACCGUAAAAUUGCAAUUGAUACUGGCAGUCGUGAGUACAGUUGAGGUAGGCGGAAUUCGUGGUGUAGCGGUGAAAUGCUUAGAUAUCACGAAGAACUCCGAUUGCGAAGGCAGCUUACUAAACUGCCACUGACAUUGAUGCUCGAAAGUGUGGGUAUCAAACAGGAUUAGAUACCCGAGUAGUC
RNAcentral lists this ribosomal RNA (460 nucleotides) under uncultured bacterium. RNAcentral's name for it is "partial 16S ribosomal RNA". It matches the Rfam family "Bacterial small subunit ribosomal RNA", at positions 338 to 795 of the family's 1533-position model. The record is from RNAcentral.